RNAcentral lists this ribosomal RNA (253 nucleotides) under uncultured bacterium. Its description in RNAcentral is "partial 16S ribosomal RNA". It matches the Rfam family "Bacterial small subunit ribosomal RNA", at positions 524 to 776 of the family's 1533-position model. The record is from RNAcentral.
UACGGGGGGGGUAAGCGUUGUUCGGAAUUACUGGGCGUAAAGGGCUCGUAGGCGGCCAACUAAGUCAUACGUGAAAUCCCUCAGCUUAACUGGGGAACUGCGUGUGAUACUGGAUGGCUUGGAUUUGGGAGAGGGAUGCGGAAUUCCAGGUGUAGCGGUGAAAUGCGUAGAUAUCUGGAGGAACACCGGUGGCGAAGGCGGCAUCCUGGACCAAUAUUGACGCUGAGGAGCGAAAGCGUGGGGAGCGAACAGG